This 450-nucleotide ribosomal RNA is filed under the name uncultured bacterium. RNAcentral's name for it is "partial 16S ribosomal RNA". It matches the Rfam family "Bacterial small subunit ribosomal RNA", at positions 354 to 796 of the family's 1533-position model. The record is from RNAcentral.
GUGGGGAAUUUUGGACAAUGGGCGCAAGCCUGAUCCAGCAAUGCCGCGUGCAGGAAGAAGGCCUUCGGGUUGUAAACUGCUUUUGUACGGAACGAAACGGUCCGGGUUAAUACCCUGGGCUAAUGACGGUACCGUAAGAAUAAGCACCGACUAACUACGUGCCAGCAGCCGCGGUAAUACGUAGGGUGCAAGCGUUAAUCGGAAUUACUGGACGUAAAGCGUGCGCAGGCGGUUUUGUAAGACAGGCGUGAAAUCCCCGGGCUCAACCUGGGAAUUGCGCUUGUGACUGCAAGGCUGGAGUGCGGCAGAGGGGGAUGGAAUUCCGCGUGUAGCAGUGAAAUGCGUAGAUAUGCGGAGGAACACCGAUGGCGAAGGCAAUCCCCUGGGCCUGCACUGACGCUCAUGCACGAAAGCGUGGGGAGCAAACAGGAUUAGAUACCCCGGUAGUCC